ACGCGGGUGUGCAGUAGCUUGCCGAGAAUACCAAGUAUUUAGACGAUUCAUCAAGACUGACUGGAGGUGAGAUACAGUGUCAUUGCUCAUGAAGUAACUUGAAGUUUGUUGUAGAUUUGUGAAACGCUUCAGUGAUGUUUAGCACUGGGCUCUGAGUUCAUGUGUAGACAAAAGUGCAGUUUUGCUCUUGACAUGGCAGAACCUGAGAAGUGU
RNAcentral lists this long non-coding RNA (213 nucleotides) under Danio rerio (zebrafish). Lineage: Eukaryota; Metazoa; Chordata; Actinopteri; Cypriniformes; Danionidae. The record is from RNAcentral.